Molecule: ribosomal RNA, 555 nt
Filed under: Agromyces sp.
Lineage: Bacteria; Bacillati; Actinomycetota; Actinomycetes; Micrococcales; Microbacteriaceae
Description: bacterial SSU rRNA
Rfam family: Bacterial small subunit ribosomal RNA
Source: RNAcentral
UCAUGGCUCAGGACGAACGCUGGCGGCGUGCUUAACACAUGCAAGUCGAACGAUGAACCGGGUGCUUGCACCUGGGGAUUAGUGGCGAACGGGUGAGUAACACGUGAGUAACCUGCCCUGGACUCUGGGAUAACCCCGAGAAAUCGGAGCUAAUACCGGAUAGGACCUUGCCCCGCAUGGGGGUUGGUGGAAAGUUUUUCGGUCUGGGAUGGACUCGCGGCCUAUCAGCUUGUUGGUGAGGUAAUGGCUCACCAAGGCGUCGACGGGUAGCCGGCCUGAGAGGGUGACCGGCCACACUGGGACUGAGACACGGCCCAGACUCCUACGGGAGGCAGCAGUGGGGAAUAUUGCACAAUGGGCGCAAGCCUGAUGCAGCAACGCCGCGUGCGGGAUGACGGCCUUCGGGUUGUAAACCGCUGUUAGUAGGGAAGAAUCCUUUCGGGGUGACGGUACCUGCAGAAAAAGGACCGGCUAACUACGUGCCAGCAGCCGCGGUAAUACGUAGGGUCCGAGCGUUGUCUCGGAAUUAUUGGGCGUAAAGAGCUCGUAGGCGGU